RNAcentral lists this long non-coding RNA (230 nucleotides) under Lathyrus oleraceus (garden pea). RNAcentral's name for it is "Pisum sativum (pea) long non-coding RNA (PSAT_LNC025502)". The record is from RNAcentral. Lineage: Eukaryota; Viridiplantae; Streptophyta; Magnoliopsida; Fabales; Fabaceae.
CUGCGAAAGGUUAUUUAUGCUGCGUUUCUCUCGACCUUACCCUGGCCUAGAUGACACCCGUGAGCGGGGAGGGAAUGAUCAUUAUUACAGGUACAGUUGGUGACUUGUUGGUGACUUGUUGUGAUCCUGUUGGUGACUAUUGGUUCAGAAUUUUGGGGUCUCAGAUGACUUUGGGUUUCAGAUGAAUUUGUGGUUCCGAGUUCAAGCCGAAGCUUUGAUCCUGUGUUCCG